This is a long non-coding RNA of Loxodonta africana (African savanna elephant), 1147 nucleotides long. RefSeq lists it as uncharacterized. The record is from RefSeq and is a predicted model, not a curated record. NCBI's taxonomy places the organism in Eukaryota, Metazoa, Chordata, Mammalia, Proboscidea, Elephantidae. The transcript is spliced from 3 exons.
AAGAGAGAUGCUGAUGAAGAGUAAGCUAAUUAUAUCAGGUGGACACUUGAGAUUGUGUUGGCAUCUCCUGUCUGGAGGGGGGAUGGGAGGAUAGAGAGAGAGGGAAGCUGGCAAAAUUGUCACGAAAGGAGAGACUGAAAGGGCUGACUCAAUAGGAGGAGAGCAAGUGGGAGUACGGAGUAAGAUGUAUGUAAACUUAUAUGUGACAGACUGAUUGGAUUUGUAAACGUUCACUUGAAGCUUAAUAAAAGUUAAUAAAAAAAAACCGACUACGAAAAGAUCAUGUUAUGGAAAAAAGUGUUUCGAAGAAUAAAGCAAUUGUAUUUAGAUAUGUUUUAAAGGAAUCAAGGAUUAAGUGACUCUCAAUUUAAUAAAUAUUUAUAAGAUCUUACUUUCAUAAUCCCCUUCAGAUAAACGGGGAAAUAAUGGCCUGUUUUUUCUGUAGCCAAUACUAAUUUAGAGGACAAAUUUAAAUACCUUAUUAAUUCCAUUUUCUAUUUAAAGACCAAAAGGUUAGUGUCUGUUACAGGGUUUAUAUUUAGAAUCUUAGUAUUUGGUGGUGAGGGUGGUAGUGGUGAUGUGGUCUUUUUUAUUUUUUUAAUGUGCUGUAUUUGUUCGGAGUGCAAAAUGGACAUGGCCCUUUAAAUUAUCUUACCCACAAAUCUCCUCUAUUUAAAAAAAUUCAAAUUUCACAUUAAUUCAAGAUACAGGUGAAACCUGAACCGCAAAUAUGAAUUGCUUACUCACAUCUUCACUUGUGGAUAGCAAGUACGAAGCCUUUUGGGUAACAAGGGCAGAUACAAUAAAUACCCCGAAGAGUCAUAUUGUGUUCCAGCUCACGUGCAUCUAACUGCCUGCUGAGACUUACCUCUUCUGUUUGGACCAGACUCUGUUGCCAGCAGAAACUCCACCGCACUGACACAGAGAUGAAUAAAGGUAUGAAGCACCUCCCUUCCAAGAAGCAGAUGCAAAAAAAAACUCCAGAUACAAAAGAGCAGAUAGUUUAUUCAGAACUGAAGAUAGAUACAUCAAACUCCAAUCAGGCCAAGAUAAGAAGAAAUAGAUCCUCUAAAGAAAAAGGUAACCUUUAUAUUUAAGAACAACAUUCCCUUAUUUUCUAGUUCCUUAGGAAAAAAAAAAAAAAUUU